GAGGAACGAUGGAGGCGUGCCUAAUACAUGCAAGUCGAGCGAACGGACGAGAAGCUUGCUUCUCUGAUGUUAGCGGCGGACGGGUGAGUAACACGUGGAUAACCUACCUAUGAGACUGGGAUAACUUCGGGAAACCGGAGCUAAUACCGGAUAAUAUUUUGAACCGCAUGGUUCAAAAGUGAAAGACGGUCUUGCUGUCACUUAUAGAUGGAUCCGCGCUGCAUUAGCUAGUUGGUAAGGUAACGGCUUACCAAGGCAACGAUGCAUAGCCGACCUGAGAGGGUGAUCGGCCACACUGGAACUGAGACACGGUCCAGACUCCUACGGGAGGCAGCAGUAGGGAAUCUUCCGCAAUGGGCGAAAGCCUGACGGAGCAACGCCGCGUGAGUGAUGAAGGUCUUCGGAUCGUAAAACUCUGUUAUUAGGGAAGAACAUAUGUGUAAGUAACUGUGCACAUCUUGACGGUACCUAAUCAGAAAGCCACGGCUAACUACGU
Molecule: ribosomal RNA, 496 nt
Filed under: uncultured bacterium
Lineage: Bacteria
Description: partial 16S ribosomal RNA
Rfam family: Bacterial small subunit ribosomal RNA
Source: RNAcentral